RNAcentral lists this unclassified non-coding RNA (494 nucleotides) under Hevea brasiliensis (rubber tree). The record is from RNAcentral. Lineage: Eukaryota; Viridiplantae; Streptophyta; Magnoliopsida; Malpighiales; Euphorbiaceae.
GACCUCCCAUUGCAUGCACGGUAUCAACCCCUAGGUGAAAGUGGUUAUUCAAUGGUGGAAUUUGGCACACCAGAUUUAUUUGUACGGUGCUGCAUGGAAGGAAACUUAAGCAAUCAAAGCUGCUUAUUUGCACCGAGCAGUGACAGUGUUGAAACCAAAACUAGUGCUGUUGUGUGGAGAAUUCCUUCUGGUACUAAGAUACAUACUGGUAUUGUGUCUGUCAUUACUUUUGUUGCAGCCUUCAUAUCAACUCUUGUUAUUGUCCUGACAUCCAUGUUUUAUUCUGAUAUUAAUUGUGCAAAAACAUUUAAAUUAUCAUAGUUUUGAUGUUUUUGUAGCUUGAUUUUUUUGAGUAAGAGAGGCUGAGCAUCUUCUUUGAGAUGAUUUGUAGACUUAUUAUGUACACCUUAAUACUUUUGUUCUCGCAAUCAUCCCGACAUCAAUGAUGUUUCUCUAUCCCUUUGCCUGUCAUAGAAAUAUACAUUCAAGUCGGG